UAUAUAUAUAUAAUUAGAUU
This 20-nucleotide small nuclear RNA is filed under the name Arabidopsis thaliana (thale cress). RNAcentral describes it as "snRNA_08142". Lineage: Eukaryota; Viridiplantae; Streptophyta; Magnoliopsida; Brassicales; Brassicaceae. The record is from RNAcentral.